GCCGGUGUAGCUCAGUUGGUCAGAGCGGUUGAUUCGUAAUCAACAGGUCGGAGGUUCAAAUCCUCUCACCGGCUCCA
This 77-nucleotide transfer RNA is filed under the name Candidatus Poribacteria bacterium. RNAcentral describes it as "tRNA-Thr". It matches the Rfam family "tRNA". Rfam says of the family: Transfer RNA (tRNA) molecules are approximately 80 nucleotides in length. Lineage: Bacteria; Candidatus Poribacteria. The record is from RNAcentral.